Small nucleolar RNA from Thalassophryne amazonica, 215 nucleotides. RefSeq annotates it as small nucleolar RNA SNORA73 family. The transcript has a single exon. Lineage: Eukaryota; Metazoa; Chordata; Actinopteri; Batrachoidiformes; Batrachoididae. The record is from RefSeq and is a predicted model, not a curated record.
CCGACGUGGACACCCAGAGUUGCUCUCUGGCUCUGUCCUGGUGGCGUUUGGGAGCGUAGCUCUGAGCCAAGACGUAUAAUCCCAUUCCACGAUGUCGGAUAGAAAGCUCCGUCCCCGGUUCCUGACCGGUGAGGAUGAGCGUCCUGCAUAUUCCUACGUCUUCCCAGAGUCCUUUGGGGCCAUUACUGGGGAGCGAGACCAUGCAGGACACAUGU